This 484-nucleotide ribosomal RNA is filed under the name uncultured bacterium. RNAcentral's name for it is "partial 16S ribosomal RNA". It matches the Rfam family "Bacterial small subunit ribosomal RNA", at positions 30 to 507 of the family's 1533-position model. The record is from RNAcentral.
AUUGAACGCUGGCGGCAGGCCUAACACAUGCAAGUCGAGCGGAAGAAGGGAGCUUGCUCCUGGAUUCAGCGGCGGACGGGUGAGUAAUGCCUAUGAAUCUGCCUGGUAGUGGGGGAUAACGUCCGGAAACGGGCGCUAAUACCGCAUACGUCCUGAGGGAGAAAGUGGGGGAUCUUCGGACCUCACGCUAUCAGAUGAGCCUAGGUCGGAUUAGCUAGUUGGUGGGGUAAAGGCCUACCAAGGCGACGAUCCGUAACUGGUCUGAGAGGAUGAUCAGUCACACUGGAACUGAGACACGGUCCAGACUCCUACGGGAGGCAGCAGUGGGGAAUAUUGGACAAUGGGCGAAAGCCUGAUCCAGCCAUGCCGCGUGUGUGAAGAAGGUCUUCGGAUUGUAAAGCACUUUAAGUUGGGAGGAAGGGCAGUAAGUUAAUACCUUGCUGUUUUGACGUUACCAACAGAAUAAGCACCGGCUAACUUCGUG